This is a long non-coding RNA of Papaver somniferum (opium poppy), 1854 nucleotides long. RefSeq lists it as uncharacterized. The transcript has 7 exons. The record is from RefSeq and is a predicted model, not a curated record. Lineage: Eukaryota; Viridiplantae; Streptophyta; Magnoliopsida; Ranunculales; Papaveraceae.
AUAGUUUUUAGCUUCAUCCCCAUUGAUCCCACAGCUCUUAAAUCCAUGUAUUCAUCACCAUUAAUGGGUGCGAAAUGAAAAUUACAAUUUCUUUCGCCCAUUAAAACCCCAAAUUUCCCCUUUUUCUCCCAUGAUUCCAUAAAUCAAUAAAUCAAUUUUCUGCGAAUUUGGAAGGCGGUAAUAUUCUUGGGGAAUUUGUUGUAUCGAAAACUAGAAUUCAGAAAUCAUCCUAUCAGGUAUAUCCAGUGCCUCAAAGGAGCAAGAGCAGGUUUAUCUUAGAACUACUAAAGCUUUUAUUCACUUGGUGACAAUAGACCAAGGAUAUCCAAACAUUAUACUGGCAAUCCUUCUUCUUGGAGCAAUUUAAGAGAGGGAAUUAAGAAAUUCAGUAGGAUACAGGACAUCUUGAUCUUGAACGGAUCCCGUAAUUGGGCUAAGGCUGUCUGAACUCAAGAAAUUAUGUGUUUCUCCUGGAAUUGUCGAGACAAUGAAGUCGUUUAUUUCAUCUACGCUGUCGUUAGUUGGUGCGAGCGAUACUCCGGAAGUUAGUCACAUAUUCUCAGUAAGGUUGAAGAUUCUGAAAUGACUCCAAAGGUCAGACCUAUUAAUCGUUGCGUCAACAAUAAUUUCCCUAGUUCCUUUGGGAAUGAUCGGUAAUAUCUGCCUAAAAUCUCCACCAAACACUACAAUUUUCCUCCGAAUAUGUCUGUCGGCUUACUCAUCAGAUCCCUCAAUGUCCUAUCCAGUGCUUCGAAUGCAUGUUUAUGCAUCAUUUGUGCUUCAUUCCAUAUUAUUAAGUCUGCCCUACACAUCAAUGCUGCCAAAUGUUUUCCCUUCGUUCUUCGCGGAUGAGUCUGUUUUCUUUCUGGGCAUGAAGAGUCAUUUUCGGAUAACAGUCUCCAGUGUCGGUUCCACGGUUCUUCCGGAUUUGUAAUUUCGCAAAAGAGUAGCAAUGUUAUGAACAUUUCACGUAAUAACUUACUGGAUGCCCAAGUUCCCGCCUCUUCCAUUGCUUCGUGCCAUUCUUUGUCGUCAUCCAGCAAACCAAAAUCUAAACAUGCAUCUUUGAAUGUUGGAUGAACAAAUCCAUUCACAGUCUUAAUUUCGUCAAAGCUACGUGGAUCUUUUACUAUGUUGAGCAACAAACGCAGGUAGAAUCUCUCACCCUAUGUUGGAUGUGCAUGAUAUAGCCUUGCAAUUCUUCUCUUCGACUUUCUUCUAGACCACUUCUUUUUAGUCUGGUCCCAGAUCCAUUUUGUUGGAAAUUCUGCAUAAGUUAACUCCCUUGCAUCUUUAUAUUUUCUAUUUGCCUUCAUCCACUAUACGAACUUUGUUUCUUCCGGAUCUGUUCGAUUCAACACUGCGGUCAAGUUUUCGUUGUCCCGAAAUAUGAUUUGUUGUUCACCCGGUAAAUGAAAAGACAACCUCUCCACACUCGGAUCUCUGAAUUGGAUCUCGAAGUUAUAUAUUCGCCAGGUUGCUUCUGAGGCCGAUACGUAGCGACAAUAAUAUCUUUGGAUAGUACUCUCCAUUGUCUGCUCCACAUUUCCGUUGGAUCUUUUAUUUCACAGAACAGUAACAGUGCGAUGAACAUUUUACGUAGGGAUCUGCUGCACCCCCAAGUCUUGCUUCUUCAGUCACUUCUUGCCAUUUUCCAUUUUUCAGGGAUUUGGGAAUGCAAACUGAGGUUUCUGUAGUCGAGUUGGUUAGUCUGCGUAUUUAUUUUUGCCGAAACCUGUGAAAUUAUUAGAGAUGGUGACUGUAUCUCAAAUUAGUAUCCAACGGUUGCGACCUUUUGUGAAAUUUCGUUGAUCCUGAAAGACCCAAUGUGAAGAGGCACAUUUUUUAUUGACC